GAUGAACGCUGGCGGCGUGCCUAAUACAUGCAAGUCGAGCGAACGGACGAGAAGCUUGCUUCUCUGAUGUUAGCGGCGGACGGGUGAGUAACACGUGGAUAACCUACCUAUAAGACUGGGAUAACUUCGGGAAAGCGGAGCUAAUACCGGAUAAUAUUUUGAACCGCAGGGUUCAAAAGUGAAAGACGGUCUUGCUGUCACUUAUAGAUGGAUCCGCGCUGCAUUAGCUAGUUGGUAAGGUAACGGCUUACCAAGGCAACGAUGCAUAGCUGACCUGAGAGGGUGAUCGGCCACACUGGAACUGAGACACGGUCCAGACUCCUACGGGAGGCAGCAGUAGGGAAUCUUCCGCAAUGGGCGAAAGCCUGACGGAGCAACGCCGCGUGAGUGAUGAAGGUCUUCGGAUCGUAAAACUCUGUUAUUAGGGAAGAACAUAUGUGUAAGUAACUGUGCACAUCUUGACGGUACCUAAUCAGAAAGCCCCGGCUAACUACGUG
This 497-nucleotide ribosomal RNA is filed under the name uncultured bacterium. RNAcentral's name for it is "partial 16S ribosomal RNA". It matches the Rfam family "Bacterial small subunit ribosomal RNA", at positions 28 to 507 of the family's 1533-position model. The record is from RNAcentral.